UACGGAGGGUGCAAGCAUUGAUCGGAAUUACUGGGCGUAAAGGGUGCGUAGGCGGCCUGUUAAGUCAGAUGUGAAAACCCACAGCUCAACUGUGGAACGGCAUUUGAAACUGGCGGGCUCGAGCAUAGUUAGGGAAAACGGAAUUCCACAUGUAGCGGUGAAAUGCGUAGAUAUGUGGAAGAACACCGGUGGUGAAGACGGUUUUCUGGGCUAUAGCUGACGCUGAGGCACGAAAGCUAGGGGAGCAAACAGG
This 253-nucleotide ribosomal RNA is filed under the name uncultured bacterium. Its description in RNAcentral is "partial 16S ribosomal RNA". It matches the Rfam family "Bacterial small subunit ribosomal RNA", at positions 524 to 776 of the family's 1533-position model. The record is from RNAcentral.